CUUGUCAGCACAAUGCUAGCCUGUGCUGGGCAGGGCAGCUCCAGCCUGUGUCUGUGGUAUGUUUGUUGUGUAUGUUGUCCUCUGUGUGUUAGCCCUUCCUUGGGUGUCAGCACCCUCUUUUUGCGCUCAAGGGGCAUGACAUGCUUCUCGGGCACCAUCCCUAGGGUCUUGAAUGCCUGUACUCAUUGGCAUAGCGCCAAUCAGGCGCUUCUCUUCUUGCAUAGCAAGCUUACAGCGUGCAUUGUUCCUGCAUCUUGGAAGUUUCUGCUGGGUGCUCUUCUUGCAGCCUCAUCCUAGGCUGUGUCGGGAGCUCUGCUCUAAAGCCAUCCCUUUUCAGGGACUGAGGGUUCUUCUCCACAUCCUUGCGUUCUUAGGUCUUGAAGACUGGCUUCUUGCCACAUCUGUCAUCUCGGUUUUGACCGUAACUUCUUAUAAUGGGCCAUCACAAUCAGUUCUCUUCCGGGGUUGCCAUAGAGCUUCCUCGCCUGGGCGUUGCGCCCUGUAGGUCAUCUUGCUCGGCAACCUCUCUGGUCUGGGAGUCAUUCUUCUCGCUGAGAGUUUUCUCUCAUCUUUGAGUUGUGUGGUUUGUAGCAUUCUCUGUAGCCUUGGUGUGUGUGUGUGUGUUGGGUGUGGAGCUGCUCUGCCUGGGGCUGUCGAGUCAGGGUUAGGUAGAAUAGCAGUAAGAGUGUGUGGUUAGUAUGUUUGCAUGACCAGUCUGGAAUCAUUUUGCUCUCACUCAGCAUCUGGGUGACUUGCUCAGGAAUUUGGUGUUUUGUCAGAUGUGGACAGGCUACAUGCACACCAAAGAGCGGCAGAGGAGGUGAGCAGAGUGCUGUAAGGAGGUGGAGCAUAUUGGUGCUGGAGCUGACUUGGGCCAGAUGAGCAGUGACUAGGGGGCUGAAGUAGCAGUUAUUUUUCAGGUGUUGCAUUGCUGGCUAAGUUAAAGGUAUCCUUUGUGUUUUCCAGGUAGGGCACAAGCUUUAGCGUGGCAACAUGUAAAUGGCAGAGGGGGCGAGGACGAGUGGCUGAGGUGCCGCAGGGAGCCUCGGAGGGGCAAAGCCACAUGCCGAUGAGCGGUCCGAGAAGGAGCCACGUGGCCAUGUUUGGAACUGGAUGCCCGUUUGAGUAUUACCACAAGAAUCACCCAAAUUAAUGAUGAACUUUGAUGAAACUGAGCAAAGCAUAGCAAUGAUGGAACUAGAACUGACUUCAGUGACUGGCACCCAGCAAGUUUCUUGAAAUCAACAACUUUGAGGUCUGACCCUGAGCAUGGACCACACCAGCUAUGCCAGAUGUGAGCUCCAGAAGCAGCGACAACAAUCCAAUGGUGUACAGCAUUGCUUCUGACCUGAGAGACUGUUAGAGCAGAUGGAGCCCCAAGUCAUGGACUAAAUGAACUCAAUGGACAUUUUAGAGGCAUGGCCCGUAGCCUAAGGGAAUGAUAUCUGUGUGUCUAAUUUUUUUUUUAUAUAUGUAAAAGAGAGGGAAAGUGGUGGUGAUUAAUUGGAAGUGUUG
Grus americana (Whooping crane) is the source of this 1515-nucleotide long non-coding RNA. RefSeq lists it as uncharacterized. The record is from RefSeq and is a predicted model, not a curated record. NCBI's taxonomy places the organism in Eukaryota, Metazoa, Chordata, Aves, Gruiformes, Gruidae. The transcript has 4 exons.